This 253-nucleotide ribosomal RNA is filed under the name uncultured bacterium. Its description in RNAcentral is "partial 16S ribosomal RNA". It matches the Rfam family "Bacterial small subunit ribosomal RNA", at positions 524 to 776 of the family's 1533-position model. The record is from RNAcentral.
UACGUAGGGUGCAAGCGUUGUCCGGAAUUAUUGGGCGUAAAGAGCUCGUAGGCGGUUUGUCGCGUCUGCUGUGAAAACUCAGGGCUUAACCCUGAGCCUGCAGUGGGUACGGGCAGACUAGAGUGUGGUAGGGGAGCGUGGAAUUCCUGGUGUAGCGGUGAAAUGCGCAGAUAUCAGGAGGAACACCAGCGGCGAAGGCGGCGCUCUGGGCCGGAACUGACGCUGAGGAGCGAAAGCGUGGGUAGCAAACAGG